AAUCACUGGCCUGGGGUUAAGCCUGUCUUGAAAACAGGUUUUAAGUGUUCGAGUCACUUAGUGAUUU
Molecule: transfer RNA, 67 nt
Filed under: Entemnotrochus adansonianus
Lineage: Eukaryota; Metazoa; Mollusca; Gastropoda; Pleurotomariida; Pleurotomariidae
Description: tRNA-Ser
Source: RNAcentral